Molecule: long non-coding RNA, 238 nt
Filed under: Setaria viridis
Lineage: Eukaryota; Viridiplantae; Streptophyta; Magnoliopsida; Poales; Poaceae
Description: long non-coding RNA (SVIR_LNC005015)
Source: RNAcentral
UUUGUAUCGUGGGAGGUGGCGUUAUGCCACUUGCAAUAUUUCAUCUUCUUCAGCUGUUCGGCCGACGGGAUUGUAUGAUAUGGCGAAAGCUUGAUCUGUUCUUCUUGGAGAAGAAGAUCGAAAAUUUUAUCAGCCUUUGAUGUGUCAAAUCCGAAUGUUUCCGGCUCCUUUUUCCCGAACGGACACGAUAUCGGCUUUUUUCUUUUAACCCACUCCGCCAGGCCGAUCUCUGUUUCUU